RNAcentral lists this transfer RNA (71 nucleotides) under Marmota monax (woodchuck). RNAcentral's name for it is "tRNA.Ala". It matches the Rfam family "tRNA". Rfam says of the family: Transfer RNA (tRNA) molecules are approximately 80 nucleotides in length. Lineage: Eukaryota; Metazoa; Chordata; Mammalia; Rodentia; Sciuridae. The record is from RNAcentral.
GGGGUUGUGGCUCAGUGGUAGAGCACUCACCUAGCACAUGUGAGAUCCUGGGUUUAAUCCUCAGCACCACA